Long non-coding RNA from Aethalodelphis obliquidens (Pacific white-sided dolphin), 528 nucleotides. RefSeq lists it as uncharacterized. The transcript is spliced from 2 exons. The record is from RefSeq and is a predicted model, not a curated record. NCBI's taxonomy places the organism in Eukaryota, Metazoa, Chordata, Mammalia, Artiodactyla, Delphinidae.
ACCUAUCCUUUGUUGCAAAACUCCUCUAUUAUCCCGGCUCCUCCCCUCGCCUCCUUGGACAGUUUCUGCGUUAUCUGUCUCCCGGCUGCAGUCCUCAUUUUGCCCCAAGUAAAACUUAACUCGCGACUCUCACAUUGUGCAUAUUUUUUUUAAAGUCAAAAGUAGCCUAAAAGGGAAGCAUGAAGGUGGGAUUCAAGACUGUCCCACCCAGCCCACAGUGUUUUCGUCAUAGUCUAUUUCAUGUCAGGUAGCAACGGAGGUGGCAAAAACAACAGGCAUUUCUAAUACUCCUUUAUUAUUGUAGAAAUCACCCGAGGCUGACCCCAUGCUAACUACUGAGGUUCACAGUCCUAGGAACAGCAAAGGAGGAAAACAGACAUCUGCACAGAGCCUCAGUGGCCCCAUCCACAUAAUAAGGAUCAGCGCUGUGACCUUGAGGUUCACACCUCUGAAGAAGCGGCCAGGAUUUUCUGGCACCAAAGACUGCCCUGGGCUGUUUCCUCAAGAUACCCAGCUGAUCCUCAGAGG